Long non-coding RNA from Chenopodium quinoa (quinoa), 2885 nucleotides. RefSeq lists it as uncharacterized. NCBI's taxonomy places the organism in Eukaryota, Viridiplantae, Streptophyta, Magnoliopsida, Caryophyllales, Amaranthaceae. The transcript is spliced from 3 exons. The record is from RefSeq and is a predicted model, not a curated record.
AUUCCAAAGUCUGCUCUCAAUGUGCCACUCAUCCCCUUGUGGUGGGCACAUGAGUGCCCAAAAGACCGCCUCUAAAGUCUUGCAAUCGAUGCUCUUUUGCACUAGUAGAAAAAAUGUAUUAGGCACCGCACAUUUCGCACCGGUUCUUGAAAACCGGUGGCAAAAGAAAUGGACGGUAUUGGGGAAAUGACUUUUCGCACCGGUUCCUAUUAAACCGGUGCAAAUUACAAACGAAAAAAAAGAAAAAAAAUAACGAAAGAAAGGGGAUUCCCACCGGUUCUAACCAAACCAGUGCGUAAUGUAUAAAAAAAAAUCGGUUUAUGGCUUUCUUUCUUCUUCUUUCUUUUUUCCCCCCUGCUUUCCCUCUUCGUUCUGCUCUUCUCUUUCUCUCUCGUUUUCGCAUCUCCUUCUCUUCCCGAACUGCACUCCAUUGAAGCAGCUCGCUCUCUCUCCAUUGAAGUGGUUUACGAGCUUUCUCUCUCCACUGAAGCAGCACCUCCUUCUCUCUCCAUAUCUCUGGCCUCCAUUGAACUCACGUGUGAUCUAUCUUCUCCAUUGAAGCCGAUUCUGAGCUUUCUCACCUCCAUUGAAGCAGCUUCGAGGGUUUCUCAUUGAAGCGCGCACAGCUACACCUCCACCACAACGACCUCCUUGUCACGGCGGCUUUGAAUAGUGGACCUGUUCGUAUUCUCUGCUCCUUCAAUGUUCCUCAACGUCUCCUGGAGAAUGGUGGCUGUGGGUUUUUUGAGUGGUAUGAUGAAUCAUCUUAAAAAAUUACCUUGGACCUGCUUUCCAAGCUACCAUGAGUUCCAGCCAACUCCUCUAAACAGGUAUUAAGUUUGGAACUUAAUGUUGAUAUUUCCUGUUUAGCGGCUUCCUUUUCACUAUCCAGUUCAGCAAAAUCAUUUUCCGCCUUUGAAAGUGCAUCUUCAAGAGAUUCACAUUCUUGACAAAUCGGAAAAUCUCUUUUGUUACAAUAAUCAGGGAGAAUUAGUAAGACGCUUUGCCAAUGACCAGAAUAAAAUAACAUGUGGUAAGUCUAUUUUCACUAAAUCUCUUUGUUUAUCUAGUUCCUAAUAAGCAUUGUUGGUCAGUUCUUGAAUAUUUUUUCCUUCACUAGACCCAGAUAUGCAAGUAAAGAUUGACUCGUAUAUUACUAAAAGCCAAGCCAAUUUCGGUGUAUUAGUUUUGGUAAGUUUACUAGUGAUAAUAUUUAUAUUCUUUGCAUUCUUCUGAUUAGAGUUGACAUCAUUCAAACAAUCAUUGGUGAACAGUUAACUACCUUAGCUUCCAAAUAAGUACGUGAAAGAAAAAUCCAUAUUAGAAAAUGACUAUCUUUCACCUAAAUUUUCUUUUCACGACCCAAGAACAUUGCCUUUUGUUUUAAAAUCUUUGCAUAAUCCAUUAUGGAGAUAUUGGCUCUAGACUAGAUUGUCGGCCCCCUUAAAGCUUUAAACAAGUGGGAAAGAGGAUGAAAUGUUAGAUAUCUUAGUCCCUAGGGAUAGUUGACCCGAUUUGAGGGUUGAUUUCUCAGGCUUUAUAAUUGCUGAUAAAAUCAUAUAAUUCUUCCUUGUUUGGAUUAAACUAUACAUAAGUAUUGGAAGGGAAGGAAAAUACUAAUAUGAAAGUCCCUGUAAAAUUCUUGUUUCACACUUUUCGUUGCAUUGGUGAAAUUUAGAAGGAAAGAAUGAUUUAAAUUCCUUUUUAUUUUUAUUCUUAUUUUAAAUAAAGGCUUUUGUGCAGAACAACUUAUUUUUCCUCUACGUAGAGAUUGAUCUUUAAUAUAAUCUAGCUGAAAAGUAAAUAACCACAGUAGAGAAAAAUUUGAAAAAUCAGGAUGAAGUUUUAUUGGACGACACAUGAGGUAAUUUAUUCAAGUGACCAUUUAGGUAAGGGGUGGCUUCUAUUUGUGUUGAUUUUGAAUAGGAUCUGAGGUGAUCUAGCCAUUUUUUUAGAAAUAUAUUAAUAUACCCAAUGUAUACAAUAAAGGAAAAGAAAUUACUUCAUGCUUGAAAUACAUUGUCUAUGCCUUCCAAAUCAUAUCUGACCAAUUCAUGUUGUAUUUAUAUCAUUUUUAAGGCUUAUAGACUGUGAAGUGAUACAUAUUUUUGUAUUGCUUGUCAAGCAAUUGGAUUCAUUUAAUCACUGGGAACCAGCAACUUUUAUUUUACGGCGCUCAGGUUUUCAAGUAAAGAUCAAUAAAACAGGAGCUCUUCAAAUAGCUGAUGAAUAUAAUUGCAACAUUUUAAUUUUACAGGAACCAGCAACUUUUAUUUUAUGGCGCUCAGCUUUUAUUUUUGCAUUUAGCUGUUCCAACUUGUGAAAUAUAGCUGCAACAUUUUAAUUUUUAUUGUUCUCUCUUGAGACCAGCACAAAUUUAGGACAGAACAUAUCUGUAAUCUGGAGGCACUGGGCAAAAGAUUGCCCAACUACUACAUCCAACGUAGCUGCUGGUGCGAUAGGAAACCAGAAGUCCGAAGCCACUGACAACAGAAGCUAUGGCAUGAAAAGUGGUUCAUCCUGCUUCAAAUGCGGCCUGGAAGGGCGCUGGGCAAAAGAUUGCCCUACAACUACAUCAAAUGUAGCUGCUGGUGCGAUAGGAAACCAAUCAACUGACUCCUGGUUUGCAAGAGAAGCUGCCACCAACUGACUCGAGGCUUAGGCCAGAUUAGAGACACUUGGAAAAUGGUGAAUAUGAGCUGGCAAAUAUAGAGAAACUCAGACUUGAACAGUUGCAAAGACAUGUAUGUGUUUGGCUGAGUAAAGCUCAUUAACAACUCCUGAAACUGGCAAAUGUAGACAAACUCGGACUUGAACAAUUCCUCAAAUAAUUGUAUCGCCAUUUUUUAUUUUGGUUUUUUUCAGUGUAAUAUUACAAGUUAUUG